CCAGUGCUUGAAGUGCGCAGCCUGAUCAGCCUGCCGCGUGAGUGAUGAAGGCCUUCGGGUUGUAAAGCUCUUUUAAUUACAGGGAAAAAGCCUGUACGUGGAUCAGUUGGCCCGGAAGUCUCCAAGCCAGCACCCCCGGUUUUACUCCAUGCC
RNAcentral lists this ribosomal RNA (153 nucleotides) under uncultured bacterium. RNAcentral describes it as "partial 16S ribosomal RNA". The record is from RNAcentral.